AUCUUCUAUGUAAAAUUUGACACCGAAUUGGCCAACCUCAAUGGACGGGGCGUUACAGGAGAGAGUUCAAGCUUAAAUUGAGUGAAUUGUAUGAUCAAUUGAGGGCAAGAAAUCACGAACUAGAGUCGUAAUUAUAUUUAGUGAGUAAAUGGAGACAAGUAGGACAAGCUAAGAGACAACGUACUACGACAGAGCCAUGGAUGACUUAAGGACCAUGCUCAGCAGCAGGCCAGCAGCAGCAAGCAAACAAAUCCAGCCCCGCAGAAAUUCGGGGAUUCGGUUGAUCGCACACAGGGCAUAAAGCGCAGGCAACCACACGACCCAGCGGGCGGGCGGGCGGGCGGGCGAGCGAGGCAGGUGAGGGGCUUACCGGCGAGUUCCGGCUCGUUCCCGCCCGACGCCGCCAUCCCGGCGACCGACGGAUGGGGUCGGAGGAUGGACGAACUCGCCUGCCACGGGAGCGGGCUGGUGGGUCGACAGGCCGAGCGCCGACGGCCGGACCAGUCCCGUCGAAGCGGGCGGACGACCAAACGGAGGGCAGCGUAGGUGCGCGGCGGCGGAGAGGGGGUUGUCGGUUUGCUCGAUCGAGCAGCGUCGGAGUCGGAGACGACGUCCCAAUUUGGCAACUUGGUUUCGAUUUUGGGCGGCUUGUGGCCACCAAAAGCUGGAAUCCGAACCAAACGCUCAGCUUCGAGACGGCUUUUGGUGGAAGCGCCUCCGUCCACAGCCCAUUUACCACAGACCACGAGAAGCCAACCGAAGUCCGUGUCUUCAGGAAGUCGGAUGACUUCUCGCAUUCCACACGGGUGAUUCCUUCGUCCCCAACCCUAAGGUUUCGGCAACCUGUCGUUCCCGUGUCUCCGCCGCCACUUCGGACGGUCUAGCUCCACCAUCGUCCGCCCAUCGCCACGGUGAAUCCAAGGUUGCAUUUUCGCGAUACGCUUCGAAUCCGUUCGUUGAUCCCGAUAGUUCACGUUGCUAGUGGCCAGUAUGUCGUUUCCAUCCUUCAAUCCUCAUUUCUCGAUUGGAUAUGAUUCAAAUCGAACCGUAUUUUGUUUAUUUGGCCCCUCACUGCUCCCUUUGAUUCGUUUCUAAGAGAA
Molecule: long non-coding RNA, 1100 nt
Organism: Zea mays
Lineage: Eukaryota; Viridiplantae; Streptophyta; Magnoliopsida; Poales; Poaceae
Exons: 3
Source: RefSeq, a predicted model, not a curated record